AUUUGCUUUUUGUUCCCAGAGUGGGAGGCAAGCACACAGGUCUUCUCUUCUGAAAACCAGACACCAUGGGAGAGAGUGCCCCAUUGGCUAAAUUCAACUAGACACUAGACACCAAGGGAGCCCCCGGAUCUAACCCAUAAACGACGUGGAGAAGGAGCCAGCCGUUCUGAUGGGUGUGAAGUGCUUUCUCACCGUGGUUUUAAUUCGCGUUUCUCUGAUGGCGAAUGAAGUUGAGUCGGUUUUCGUGUGUUAACUCACCGCCUAGUAUAGCUCUGUUCGAUGUCAUUGAGAUGAAACUGUAUGGAUGAACAGAAAAUGAUGGAUAUGGUUUGUGGAAGACAAGAUAUGCCAGGUCGCCUGACAAUGCCAUCAUGAGAGGAGGGAAGAGCAAGAGUGUGGCUGGGAACAUGAGGAACACUCACGCUGUGCUGAGCCUCGGAUCUCCUCCAGGAUAUCCCAUUACAUUUAGAUGUCAUGUGUCCUUAGGCUCCUCUUGGCUGUGACAGUUCCUCAGACUUUCCUUGUUUUGAUGACCUUGGCAGUUUUGAAGAUUACUGGUCAGGUAUUUGGUAGAAGGUCCCUCAACUGUUUUUUUCCUGCUCUUUUUCUCAUGAUUAGACACAGGUUAUGGGUUUUCAGGAGACGUCCACAGAGGUAAGGUGCCAUCCUCAUCAUGUGAUAUCAAGGGUACAUGCUGUCAACGUGCCUUAUCACUGUUGAUGUCGACCUUGAUCACCGAAGUGAGGUAAUGUUUGUUGGGUCUCUCCACUGUAAAGUUACUCUCUCCCCCCUCUUUCCAUACUGAACGCUAUGACGGGAAGUCGUCAUGCACAGCCCACACUUACGCAAUGGGGGUGAUGCUCCACUUCCUGGAGGACAGUGUCUCUCCAUAAAUUAUUUGGGAUUCUUCUCAGCACAAUCUUCCAUAACCAACUCCUACCUACCUUUUUGGCCUCGUCCAGCUGCUCCCGAGCUUCCCGACUCCAGGCUCAUCACCUUGCAGGUCAGCACCUGCGGAUCCUGGCUAGCACCAUUCUUUCUCUCAUCUCUUUGUUCUUGGCUAUUGCUUCUCUCUGUGCUGGACGUCCCUUGUCUGCCUCCCUUGCAUGUUCAAUUCCUCUUUAACCUUCAAGACUGCUUGCUCAAGUGCCCUGGACCCUAGGAAAUCUUCCUAGAACCCAGUCUGCAUUCGGGGACUUUCCUUCAAGUCCCAAAAUACUCUGUGCAUGUCCCCAUCGUGGCAUUCAUCCCUCUCUAUUGUUCAUUCUUAACACUCUCCCCUGUUAGACUGAGAGUUCAAGAGCAGAGGCUGUCUUUCCACCUGCCGUUCUAUCCCCUGUGCUUGUAGAGUGCACACAUAAGACACUUAGUCAAUGUUUUUUGAAUGAAAGAAUAACUAAAAAACUUUCAGAACCCCAGCUAUGAGAUUUCUUCUUUGAAUUUCCAGUCCUUCUGUCUUGUCGACCAUCACCAUAUUCUGCCUUGUAUUAUGGUUACUUGGGUACUUGUCUUACUGAUUGUAAUAGCUCCAAUGGUCUUCAAGGGCUGCGAGCAUGUUUUGUCUCACAUGGAAUUUUGUGAUGUUUUUCACUGCCUCUGUCUUUCCUGUAGUUUCUAGGACAGCGUCUUGCACAAAGUAGGUGUUUAAUAAAUCUUUGUUGAAUGACUGAAUGAGUUAAUGAACAAAUAAAUGAAGCUACCU
This is a long non-coding RNA of Equus asinus (donkey), 1702 nucleotides long. The record is from Ensembl. NCBI's taxonomy places the organism in Eukaryota, Metazoa, Chordata, Mammalia, Perissodactyla, Equidae.